AUGCAUAUAGCCAAAAACUGGCAUCAGCAAGCAAGGCAGCUGAAGCACGUUCCAAAUAUUGCUCUAUUUAAAGCAUCCCAAGGCUCACAAGAACAACUGCAGAGGCAACCCUUAAAUCUUGUCAAUAAAACCAGCGGAGGGAGGAAUGGCAGAACAGGCCCCAGUCCCACUUUCCCGUCUCGUUGUACCUAUUCUCCUUGCAGUUGGCUGGAUCGUGGGUUGUGCCCUAAUGGUUUACAUCGUCUUCUCCUGACAGAAGACAGAAGAAUUUCCAAUGAUGUUGACUGGAAGAACCUGAAAGUUAAAUUGGAAUGCUGAAUGACAAAAAUACGUAUAAAAUGAGUUAUGUUUAAUAUCAACACUAGAUAUGGUGUAUAAUUUUUAUCUGCAACAAAGGUGUGAAAUGCUAGUCAGGAAGAAUCAUUAAAGCAAUUUCCUGAUUUUCAAAUGGUUUGUAACUGAGUGAGUGGUUUUUGGAGUCCAGUGGUAGGUCAGAUACCUGCCUGCUCUCUGUCCUGCUUUGUUGUUGCCAUCUUGAAUUUAAGCAUUUUUGGAAACAGCAUUCCUAGAGUUACU
RNAcentral lists this long non-coding RNA (576 nucleotides) under Anser brachyrhynchus (Pink-footed goose). Its description in RNAcentral is "lncRNA (ENSABRG00000019782.1)". The record is from RNAcentral. Lineage: Eukaryota; Metazoa; Chordata; Aves; Anseriformes; Anatidae.